Molecule: RNA transcript, 962 nt
Organism: Mus musculus (house mouse)
Lineage: Eukaryota; Metazoa; Chordata; Mammalia; Rodentia; Muridae
Gene: Commd4
Gene name: COMM domain containing 4
Exons: 8
Source: RefSeq, marked provisional
UAGGUGUCAUGUGAUCACAGAGUCAGCUGACCUGAGUCAAGCCGGAAGAAGCUCUGGAUUGGAUCUCCUGACAUCAUGAGGUUCCGGUUCUGUGGCGAUCUGGACUGUCCCGACUGGGUCCUGGCAGAGAUCAGCACACUGGCCAAAAUUUCCUCUGUGAAGCUGCGACUGCUGUGUAGCCAGGUGCUAAAGGAGCUUCUGGGUCAGGGGAUUGAUUAUGAGAAGAUCUUGAAGCUUACUGCUGAUGCCAAGUUUGAGUCUGGAGACGUGAAGGCCACGGUCGCGGUGCUGAGUUUCAUCCUGUCCAGUGCAGCCAAGCAUAGUGUCGACAGUGAUUCCUUGUCCAGUGAGCUGCAGCAGCUGGGGCUGCCCAAAGCCUGAGACCCACCCCUUAAGCCCAGUGCCAGUCUCCACCCGCCACCUCAGCAGAGCCCCCUCAGAGCUCCGUCUGCCUGCAGAGCAUGCCACCAGCCUGUGCCGCUGUUACGAAGAGAAGCAGAGCCCCCUGCAGGAGCACCUUCGGGCCUGUAGCCUACGUGUGAACAGGCUGGCCAGCGUGGGCUGGCGGGUAGACUACACCCUGAGCUCCAGCCUGCUUCAUUCUGUGGAGGAGCCCAUGGUACAUCUGCAGCUACAGGUUGUGCCUGCUCCAGGUACCCAGGCCCAACCUGUUUCCAUGUCCCUCUCGGCAGACAAGUUCCAGGUUCUCCUGGCAGAACUGAAGCAAGCCCAGACCAUGAUGACUGCUUUGGGCUGAGAAGAGUGUUCCCAGCCUCUGUGAGGCCUCUCUGCCUGCACUGAGUGGCUGCCCUCCACACGCCUCUUACUAGGGUGGCCCUGGCCUCUUAGUCCUGGUUAGGGCUACUGGGGAUCGUCCCCAAAAUUGCCUUCUUUCUUUUGAAAGAAAGUACUUGCCAACCAUUUUUAUAGGCAAGAAGAAUAAACAAGUGUACAGCAAUGUG